Long non-coding RNA from Cherax quadricarinatus, 823 nucleotides. RefSeq lists it as uncharacterized. NCBI's taxonomy places the organism in Eukaryota, Metazoa, Arthropoda, Malacostraca, Decapoda, Parastacidae. The record is from RefSeq and is a predicted model, not a curated record.
CGUUACCUUCACAAUGUUUUGUUGUUGUUGUGAUACGUAUUGUUUGUUUCUGUUUUAUGAAGUGUCUGAUCCUUUAACGUAGAGGAUAAAACAACUUAUUAACUCUCUACCUACACUGGACCGUUACAUUGUGUUACAUGAUCAUGUGUUAUUAUGGUGAUGCGUUAUAUGCUAUCAUUGUGUAUUUUAUCGAAUGAUCUUUCAACGUAGUGAAAGAAACACCCUGUUUUAUAUGAUAUAUACACUUUUUAUACGAUAUAUACACUAAACUCUGUGUAUAUACACAAAGUUUACAUUAAUCCCUAUUUUAUGGAUUAGUGUUCUUAAAUGGUGGCAAACAGAUUAUAUGCUGUCUUAAUGACUCUCUGAGCUGGCGCCAAGCAUAAAGGUCAAUUAUCCAACCAAUAUAAACCCUCCACCAUUCUGGGACAAUUAUAUUCUGUUCUGUGGUCUUCCCAUGUUAUGUUGGCUUGUGUUGUGCUACUUGUGUUUAUUUUAUCUAGUGACUGAUGAAUUUAAAACAGUAGAGCAAACAAACUACCAUUCCUCUACCCUCUGGGACAGCUACCUUCUCUUCUACGGUCCUCAGUAAAGAAACUGGAGAAUGCAUCUUCUGUUCGGCUUGAAACUUUCAACACAGGUGUGCCCUACUAAACGAAGUAUUCAUGAGUAUAACUUCUUAAAUAGGUCUCUACGCAGUCUUCAAGAAUACAAAAACAGGGUUACCGGUAGCGCCAGGCUGCCGAUACAUAGCGUAGAGGUGAGGCGCAACUGAUGGACAACAUCCUUCACACCCUUACGCUCCUGCUAACUCUUUAAUUAU